Xenopus tropicalis (tropical clawed frog) is the source of this 4349-nucleotide long non-coding RNA. RefSeq lists it as uncharacterized. The record is from RefSeq and is a predicted model, not a curated record. The transcript has 4 exons. NCBI's taxonomy places the organism in Eukaryota, Metazoa, Chordata, Amphibia, Anura, Pipidae.
UAAGAAAUGUCCACUCUGGUGCUGUAAUAUACAGGGUAAUGAUGUAUUAUAAAGGUUUGUAAUGUACUAGUAGAGUUGGAUUUGAGCAGUGUGGUACCCUUACUGAUUGCUACUAUAAUUAAUGGGAUCUAUAUACUAUACUAUUUUACAUAGGGUAAUGUUGUCAUAUGUGUGGCAUGAUAUAUAAUAAAAACAAAUGCUGUAAUAUGCUGCCUUAUAAUAAUGUUUGCACAAGUUAAAAUGUCCUAUAUAUUCCUCCACUCACUGCACAAUGGUCUACAUGUAAAUGUUUUCCAAAAAAAUAUUUGAUUGUACACUCCUGCUGUAUCAACAUCUACAUUUAGUAAUAUGUUUGAGUUUCUGUAUGCUUUUGGGGUCGCUGAGUCAUGCUUUCAUAUUGAAACCUACACAGAUGUAACUAUUUUCAUAGACCCUGACUAGGCACUUUUUUUUUUUUUACUUUGCACUCUUUCAGAUCUUUUGAGAAGUGAAGCAAAGCACCCAACAUUUUUGUUGAGCCUUUGCAUCUCAAUGUAUACAAAUAAAACUGCAGCCAGUGAACUUAAAAGACUGGUAAGUGUAAUAUAUAGGAGGUAACUCCUGUACUUUCUCCUUCAAGGUGGUUUUUAAGAAGGACUGUUAUUGGUGUUUUCCUGAAAAUGAAACUAUAUAUGCUCCUGGCAGGUCCUGGUUUUGAAAAACUCCUGUGGACACACUUUAGCCUUGGCCGGCUUGGCCCUGUUGAGACCAAAAUCCUUUCCCAGAGCCAGAUAAAACUGGUUGAAUGUGGAUUCUGGUGCAUUUGCAUUUAUUAGGUGACUUGCAAAUUUAAAUAAAUCUCUCCCUCAGCUUGCACACCUGUAAGCUUCUUUUGCUUGGGUAUAUUUGUUUUUUUUUAGGUUGGACCCUGGUUUUAGUCACAGAGGAGGAUCUUCCCUCUUGGCAGAUAACUUAAACUGCUAUAUAUUCCAUUAAGAACGUCAUUCCUCAUAUUUUUAGGCAGGCUUUUUUUUAAAUAUUGCCAGGUAAGGCUGAUUUACAUGUAUUUCAAUCAUAUGUAACAAAACCAAUUCCUCCAUCCUUAUUUGUAAGUAUCCUUUAGUCUAGGCACCUUUGUUAACCUUUGCUAACUUUUCCUAAAGCAGGGCCUAGAGGCAGGUAACCUUGGACUGCUGAAGGUUGCAAUAUGUGAGUAUAAGAAUGCAUGGAUAGUUGGACAAUAGUGAUUCUUAAGCCUUGGUAUCUAUUUUUAAUUUUAUGUUUUCCUGGUUUGGGAAAUGAGUGAAUGGCAAAUUCAUUUUGUUGACAUUUCUUCAGCAUUGUUUUACAGAUUUGGACUAGGCAUUCAUUCCUUGACUUUUUUCAGACAGAGGUGAAUACAGGAAAAGUGUGCAUGAAACAUGGAGUAAUUCUUUUGCCCAGGCAUUGAAUUGUCUUUUCAGGAGACACCUAGUCACUGUGGUACAUCAGCCUUGGCAGUUUAUUCAGGAUCGAUCUUUUCUUUUGGCAAGUAUAUGAGCGGAUAAUAGACAAAUUCUGUUUUGUUUUCAUUUAGCCUAGGCAUCUUUGUUUUUACAGGUUGGGUCCUAGUGUAGGAAAUGAUAAGAGCCAGGGACAAGUGACCUGGGACUGCUGGAAACUUUGAUUUAAUAGGUGAGUAGAAGAAUCCAGUUUUCUUACAUGGAGAAAAUGAGGAGUUGCGACAGGUAACUUUGUACUGCUAAAGUUGGGCUAAGUGAAUAGAAAAAUUGGUGUGCAUGGAUAACUAUUUAUUUUAACAGGUUUUUCUGUUUGGAAGACUUCAAGCCACUGUGGUACUUUGGCCAUGGCUGGGUAAUUUGGAAUCUUGUUUCCUUUUGUAGGUAUAUGAGUGGACUUCAUUUCAACAUUAUCAUUCUUUAGCAUGGACUUUUGUAUUACAGAAAUUAUUUAUAGCCGUUUUCACACAAAGGCAGGAAGCUUUGGACUGCCAAAAUAGAUGAUAGGUGAGUAGAAGAAUUGGUGAGCAUAGAUAAUAGUGAUUUCUCAGGCUGGACAUCUUUGUUUUACAGGUUGGGACAACCAAAGACUAGGAGUGGAGGCAGGUAACUUAGAACUACUGGAGCUAAUUAUAGGUGAGUAUAAAAAUAGAUAUGCAUGGAUAAUAGUGAUUUUCACCUGGGCUACCAUUUGUUUUUACAGGUUUACCUGGUUUGUAAAGGAUCUUGCUGCUAUGGUAUCUCAAUGUUGACAGGGGUUACUUGGAAUCCUUACUGUUUUGGUAAGUAUGAGUGGAUGGACAAAUGCCAUUUGGCACUAUUCUUUAGCCUGGGCAUCUUUCUUUUUAUAGGUUGGGUCCUGGAAUAGGAAAGGAAGCAGAGGCAGAUGACCUGGGACUGCUGAAGCCUGUGGUCAACUGGUAAGCAGAGCACGUGUAAAUGAAUAAUGAUGAUAGUGAUUCUUUUUUCCAGGUUUCUAUUUGUUUUUAUAGGUGUUCCUAUUUUUGGCAUUGUAUAGCCAUGACAGUGGCAGGGGUUACUUGGGAUCCUGUUUCUUUUGGUAGGUAUAUGAGUGGAUGGGCUAAUUAAGUUUGGCGUUAUUAUUCUUCAGCAAAGACAUCUUUGUAUUCCAGAUUGGGACAUUGUGUGGAAAUGGCAGGUUGAGGCAGGUCAUUUGGGACUGCUGAAGCUUAUGAUAGGUUAGUAAAAGAAUUGAUGUAAAUGGAGUAUAAUGAUUGUUCAGUCUUGGGAAUCUUUUUACAGGUUGGCACAUUGGAGUGGAGGCAGGUAACUUUGGAUUGCAGAAGCUAGUGAUUGGUGAGUAGAAGAAUAGAGUAAUAUUAGAGUGCAAUGAUUUAUUAGCCUGGAUUUUUUUUAAUACAGGUUGGGACCAGUUUUAUUAAAUGUAAAAAUCAAAGAAAAAGCAGCAGGUAGGUAAUUUUUUUUACUGCUGAAGCUUGUAUAUGAGUGAAUAGGGAAAUUCAGUUUGGCAUUCUCAUUUUUCAACAGAGAAGAAGGGUAACUUGGGGCUGCUGAAGCUUUUGAUAGGUAAGUUGAAUAAUAAACAUGCUACUAUGAGAAUACUAUAUUAUUUUUAUUUUUUUUGUAGCCUGAGGUGUUUUUACAGACAUCCAGCCACUGUGGUGCAUCAGUCUUGACAGAUGUACCUGGUAUCCUGUCUCUUGCUAGGUAGGUGAAUGGUUGGCAGAUUCAGUUUUGUUUUCACUCAUUCUUCAGCAUUUUUGUUUUUAUAGGUUGGGUCCUGGUGUAAGAAAGGUUUAGAGCCGAUGGCAGGUGACCUGGAACUGCUGGUAAGUGGGGGGAAAAAAUGUAUGCUAGGAAAAAAUGUUUCUUCAGCAUGUGCAUCUUUGUUUUACAGGUUUUCCUGGAUUGGGUGAUGCCUAACCACCAUCGCUUUUCAGCCUUUGCAGUUUAUUUGGAAUCUUAUUGGUAGGUAUGGAUGGACGAAUUCAGUUGAUUGUCAUUUUUCAGCAUGGACAUCUUUGUUUUACAGAUUUGAACCCUGCAUCUAUUCCAUGACUUUUCAAGACGGAUAACAUUGGGCUUCUGAACCUUGCAAACAACAGAUGAGUAUGAAAGAGAGUGAAUGAAAAAUGGAGUGAUUCUUUUAACUAGGCAUCUUUGUUUUUAUAGGUUGGCUCUUGGUGUAAGAAAGGAUUUAAGAUGAUGGCAGGUGAUGUGGGACUGCUGGAACUUGUUAUUUAAUAGGUAAGUGAAAAAAUAGGUAUCUUAGGAAAAAAUGCUUCUUCAGCAUGUGCAUCUUUGUUUUACAGGUUUUCCUGGAUUGGGAGAGGUAUAACCACCAUGGUUUUUUCAGCCUUUGCAGUUUAUUUGGAAACUUUUUUUCUUGUGGAUUGGACCUAGUUUGGGAAAAGUCUAGCCAUAAAGGACACUUCAGCUUUUUUCAAAUUUGGUCUGCCUGUUUUCCAGUUGGGACCUGGUUUGGGAAAAGUCUUAGCCGUACAGCCAUUUUCUUUGAUGUCCUACUAACUCUGCACCCAAGGCGACAACUCUUCUGUUUCAAACACAUUUUAAAAGGAAGAGAUGCUGGACUGGAUAUUCACUGUGCUAUGUGUCCAUUUGGAUUUAAUAUUUGUAUUAGGAUUGUAAAAUGUUUUUUAUUUAAUCUGUUUUGAUUAACUUUCAAGUAAAUGUAUUUUUUUUUUUCUUUUUCAUUGACCUGGGCUGAAUUUGAUGAAUAUUACAAAGUUUGCAUUAGGUCCUUCUAUCGUAAGCAAUAGGCACUACACAUUUACUGGUCAUACAAAUAUUUAAAACCACUAUAUAUAUUUUGGACAAUGGUAGAUGGCUUCAGAUUGUAUAGCCAUUCUGGGUCUAAUAGUAGUCACA